This 1931-nucleotide long non-coding RNA is filed under the name Strigops habroptila (Kakapo). Its description in RNAcentral is "lncRNA (ENSSHBG00005006509.1)". The record is from RNAcentral. Lineage: Eukaryota; Metazoa; Chordata; Aves; Psittaciformes; Psittacidae.
UUCAGUGAAAAAUCUCUUCCUUUACUUUAGCUGUAAGAGGCACUACAGACAAAUAGCACAUGGAGUUGUUUGUAUUCUCUGGCUGCCCGGUUGACUUCUUUCUAAACCACACUACAACAUCAGGAACAGGUGACAAAACAACUCAGAGAAAGGCCCCGGUAUUUACAGUUUGAACUACUGUCCUGGGUUCAGCUGUAAGUUAUUUUUCUCCUUCCUAGUAGCUGGUGCAGUGCUGUGGUUUUGACUUUAGUCCGAGAACAACACUGAUAACACACCGAUGUUUUAGUUGCUGCUCAGUAGCGCUUACCCUGAGGGACUUUUCAGUCUCGUGCUCUGCCAGUGAGGAGGGGCAUGGGAAGCCGGGAGGAAGCAGAGACAGGACACCUGACCCAAACUAGCCAAAGGGGUAUUCCAUCCCACAGCACGCCAUGCCCAGGAUAGAAACUGGGGAGAGCUACCCAGAAGACCCAGAUCACUCCUUGGGUCAGGCUAGGUAUUGGUUGGCAGGUGCUGAGCAAUUGUAUUGGGCAUCACUUGUGUUUUCUUUUCCUUUCCCUUUUCAGUUUUAUAUUCUCUCUCCUUGUUAUUUCCCUUAUUAGUAGGAGUAGUUUUGUAUUAUACUUUAGUUAUUGGACUGUUUUUAUCUCAACCCAUGGGGUUUACAUUCCUUCCAUUCUCCUCCCCAUCCUGCCCAGAGCAGGGGGGAUGAAGGGGGUAAGUGAGCGAGCAACUGCGUGGUGCUGAGUUACCGGCUGGGCUUAAACCAUGACAACUAUAAACACCACAGACCAGAUCUAUAACAAGCAAGAGCAUCACAUGGUUGGUUGGUUCAUCUACAGCUUGUGUUAGGUGACUGGUUGGUGUUCAUACUGCAGAGGGAAGAUGAAGUGUAUUAUGUAAAUCUGUGGCUGGAAUAUACAAAGUGUUCUGUGUCACAAACAACCAUGGCCUUAAAGAAAAAUAAAUGGAAGAGAAACAAAUGAAAAAUGUCAAGGAUGCUGCUAUGAAAAAGGUGUGUGUCUGCAGUGUGAGAAGUUACUAACCGUUUCCACUGGUUAGUAACUUCGCUGGUGCUUUGGGACACCUCCUCUAGAAAAACCUGCACCAAGCUGGCAUGUGAAGCAUGAACCAAUGUAAAAUGGAAAGAUUUUCUGUGGGAUGAAAGAUGAACAGAUCUCUUGCAAAAAGCAGCUUUGAUGUUAAAAACCAUGGCAGAGGAAGAUAAAGCCCAGGUAUCACAAAGGCCACAUAAAAGGCUUGUGUAGGGAAAGGAUUUAUGUUUAACAGUUCAAGUAUCAGACUGACAUCCAAAAUGUGGUAUAAAAGUGCAAUCUUACAAGUCCUUGCAACAAAGACACUCAGUGUUAAUAACAUCAACAAAUCUCACCAAUCACACACUUGGCUCUAUUUUGGCUGUGCACUGAGCUUCAACAUUUCAUGGUUGAUAAAUUGCACUUGAAUUUCCACUCUUGUGCAUUACCUAGCUCGCUGCCUCUGGGAAUGGGCUAGAGAUCACAUAACUGUAAGCAAAAAUAUUCCCAAGUUUCUGCACAGUACCACAUUUUCUUAAUAAUAAUCCUUUGAAUCUUAAAGUCUUUUUCAUCCAAAUCCUGUCCCUUCAUUUCAAAACAAUGUGGUUCCAGUCUUACGUGAGGCAGCGAUCUGCAAUGAUGUCAUUACUGCUUAAUUUCAAUUCUUCCCUUCCCUUCUGUAACAAACACACCUCUCCUUGGUUCAGUUUGGUAGAGACAACAGGAGACUGCCUCAGGGUGACAGACUGCCAUUGUUAUCAGCAGCUCCUGUAUUUAUGGCUGUAUUUUCUUCUCUACAGUUCACAAGCCAGAAGAACAAUCUUUCCCACAAUUAAGGACUAUGUGUACAAACACAACCCACAGUAAGCUUUACUACAAGAAAAUAAACACUAGACCCAG